CAAGGGAUGCCCUAGUACGGCGAGUGAGCGGCAAAAGCUCAAAUUUGAAAUCUGGCAUCUUUGAUGUCCGAGUUGUAAUUUGAAGAGGUUACUUUGGAGGCUGGCUCUUGUCUAUGUUCCUUGGAACAGGACGUCAUGGAGGGUGAGAAUCCCGUCUGGCGAGAGUUUCAGUUUUCAUGUAAAGUAGCAUUCGACGAGUCGAGUUGUUUGGGAAUGCAGCUCUAAGUGGGUGGUAAAUUCCAUCUAAAGCUAAAUAUUGGCGAGAGACCGAUAGCGAACAAGUACAGUGAUGGAAAGAUGAAAAGAACUUUGAAAAGAGAGUGAAAAAGUACGUGAAAUUGUUGAAAGGGAAGGGCAUUUGAUCAGACAUGGUGUUUCGUGCUUCUUGCUCCUUGUGGGCGGGGAGACUCACACGGUUCACUGGGCCAACAUCAGUUUUGGCAGCAGGAUAAAACUUUGGGAACGUAGCUUUCUUCGGGAAGUGUUAUAGCCCUUGGCAAUACUGCUAGCCGGGAUUGAGGACUGCGCAUUAUGCAAGGAUGUUGGCUUAAUGGUUAAAUGCCGCCCGUCUUGAACACGGACCA
This 584-nucleotide ribosomal RNA is filed under the name Saccharomycodes ludwigii. RNAcentral's name for it is "eukaryotic LSU rRNA". It matches the Rfam family "Eukaryotic large subunit ribosomal RNA", at positions 69 to 668 of the family's 3401-position model. The record is from RNAcentral. Lineage: Eukaryota; Fungi; Ascomycota; Saccharomycetes; Saccharomycodales; Saccharomycodaceae.